Molecule: long non-coding RNA, 1320 nt
Organism: Eriocheir sinensis (Chinese mitten crab)
Lineage: Eukaryota; Metazoa; Arthropoda; Malacostraca; Decapoda; Varunidae
Exons: 4
Source: RefSeq, a predicted model, not a curated record
UAGCUGCUCCUGGUGGCCGCCCCAGUGCUUCCCCACGCUGCCCCAGUCCACCUGACACUCCCGGCAACCCCACUCCCGGGAGGGGACCUGCCCCCUGCCUCCUCCACGGCCCACGUGGCGGCCAGCCCGCCGCCGAGGACAUGGACUCAUCCACCUCCGCCACCAAGCGGCCACACACUCUUCUCUCCCGCUGUGCCGUGCCCACCAACACCUGACAUCAGCUGCUGCCUGCCUCACGCACCUCCCCUGCCCCCACCAGUGCCCCUCACGAGCCCGUCAUCUACUCCGCCACCUCGCCUCCUCCAAGGUGGCCAGUGCACUCCACACCUCCACCUUCCGGAAGGAGCUGUGAUGGCAGUGGCGGGCUUGGCGAGGGACGUGAGGCACCCUAGUGGAGGAGCACGAGGAGGAGGAGGAGGCAGCGGUGAAGGACGUGCCGGAGGUGGAGGCCUGGCUGAGGAGGCAAGUGACAGAGGAAGUCACCCACGCUGCAUCGUGAGGAACAGGGAAGAGUGAAGUCUUUGACACACUGCAUCGUGAGGAACAGAGGAGAGUGAAGAGUCUUUGACACACUGCAUCGUGAGGAACAGAGGAGAGUGAAGAGUCUUUGACACACUGCAUCAUGAGGAACAGAGGAGAGUGAAGAGUCUUUGACACACUGCAUCGUGAGGAACAGAGGAGAGUGAAGUUUUUGAAGGAGACCAGCCACCUGUACACAGGCUGGGUAAUGACGUGGCUGGGGACAGCACUCCACAUGGAACAAGAUUGUACUAUGUCCGAACUGAGAUUUCCACAGCACAUAACUAUGAAGGUGGGCAGGCAGCUACCACCCACCUUCAUGGCCCUGUGCUGUGGAUGUCUCGGUUCAAACAUAGUGCAGUCUUGCUUUAAGUGGAUUGCUGCCCCCAGCUGCGUCAAUAUCCUGCCUGUGUUGAAGAAGAUACAGGUGACUGGUCUCCUCCAAAGACAUUCUCCACUCUCCUCUGUUCCUCACAAUGCAGCAUGGGUGACCUGUGGACACUUCCAGGACAAACUGUUCUGCUAACCCUGAUGUGCUGAAGUACUCAACAGUGGCCCCUACCACAGAGUCUCAUCCUUAAACUCUUCUGCACUGUGAGGACAACCUUUCAUCUUGGAGGGGACUUUAUCUACAGGUCACCCAAGCUACACUUACAGGAGACGAGUCACUGGACAUCUGCAGCAGAGGGGCUGAGGAGGGUGGUGACCAAACAGAUGUCCAACAUGUACCAAGGCAGCAGCUGAAGAGGGGAGGAGGAAGAACAGUCAAGACACCUUGCCACCAAUGCUGGGCACUUCCGC